GAAGCUUUGGCCCGACAAUUUUGCGAAGAUUCCUCCUCCGAAGAUGAGGAACUCAUGAUGGAUGCAAUUGCAGUAGAAAAAGAACAAGCCCGACUGGAUGCUCCACGACAUGGAGGUUCACAAUCGGGACGUCAAUCUCUUCAGCGCGGUUUUGUGGAACGCUUUUUGAACCUCGACAAGGACUAUUUUGCACAGAACUGUACCUUCACCACAAGGAUGUUUCGCAACAUGUAUGAAACUAGUGCAUUUGUUUUGUUUUCACCAUAG
RNAcentral lists this ribosomal RNA (267 nucleotides) under Triticum aestivum (bread wheat). Its description in RNAcentral is "partial small subunit ribosomal RNA". The record is from RNAcentral. Lineage: Eukaryota; Viridiplantae; Streptophyta; Magnoliopsida; Poales; Poaceae.